AUUGAACGCUGGCGGCAGGCCUAACACAUGCAAGUCGAACGGUAACAGGAAGAAGCUUGCUUCUUUGCUGACGAGUGGCGGACGGGUGAGUAAUGUCUGGGAAACUGCCUGAUGGAGGGGGAUAACUACUGGAAACGGUAGCUAAUACCGCAUAACGUCGCAAGACCAAAAAGGGGGACCUUCGGGCCUCUUGCCCUCGGAUGUGCCCAGAUGGGAUUAGCUAGUAGGUGGGGUAACGGCUCACCUAGGCGACGAUCCCUAGCUGGUCUGAGAGGAUGACCAGCCACACGGGAACUGAGACACGGGCGAGACUCCUACGGGAGGCAGCAGUGGGGAAUAUUGGACAAUGGGCGCAAGCCUGAUACAGCAAUACCGGGGGGGUGAAGAAGGCCUUCGGGUUGUAAAGCGCUUUGGGGGGGGAAGAAGAGAAGAAGGUUAAUACCUUGCUGAUUUGACGGUAGCCAAAGAAGAAGCACGGGCUAACUUCGUG
RNAcentral lists this ribosomal RNA (490 nucleotides) under uncultured bacterium. RNAcentral describes it as "partial 16S ribosomal RNA". It matches the Rfam family "Bacterial small subunit ribosomal RNA", at positions 29 to 507 of the family's 1533-position model. The record is from RNAcentral.